GGAAACCUUGUUACGACUUUUACUUCCUCUAAAUGACCGGGUUUGACCAACUUUCCGGCGCGGGGGGGUCGUUGCCAACCCUCCUGCGCCAGUCCGAAGGCCUCACCGAGCCAUUCAAUCGGUAGUAGCGAC
RNAcentral lists this ribosomal RNA (132 nucleotides) under uncultured Eurotiomycetes. Its description in RNAcentral is "partial 18S ribosomal RNA". The record is from RNAcentral. Lineage: Eukaryota; Fungi; Ascomycota; Eurotiomycetes.